Molecule: non-coding RNA, 46 nt
Organism: Picea glauca (white spruce)
Lineage: Eukaryota; Viridiplantae; Streptophyta; Pinopsida; Pinales; Pinaceae
Source: Rfam
AUACCGGCCUUACUGAAGGCCAUCAAAAUAGUUUUAACUUUUGAUU